UCCAACCUGGAGAGAGAGAGAGAGAGAGAGAGAGAGGAGAGACAUACUGCCCAGCCUCCGUCACGAAAUAGACGAGUCGAGGACCCCAGCCCCAUCGCUGGUCAAGCUCUGAGCUCUGAUCGUGGGACACGUAUGCAGUAGCAACAGGCUUGCCUUGGGACUGUUCGAGACGGCUUAUGCGGAUGGUGGACACUGGGUGGCAAGUCCAGAAGUCACUUGUCAGUUGACGUCUGACAAAGGGCAAUUCAGUGGACAGAGUACUGUCUUUUCAGCAAAUGCAGUUGGAACAGUCAGAUGUCGGUACGACAAAAAAAACGAACUUCGGCCCAGUCCUCACACCUCCUACCCAAGUGACCUCUGAAUGGAUUCUAAAUCUAAAUGUCAAACCACAAAGCUGCUGGCAGAAAACUCGAGGCAGUCUUCAUGACGACCAGGCUGGGCGAAUGGUUCACGUGCGUCUCAGCAAAAGCACCAUGCAUAAAAUAUUUUUUUAAAAAGACAGAUAGGACUUAAAUGAGAAUUAAAAGUUGUCACCCUGUACAAGACCAUGUUAGGAGAAUGGAAGGACAGGAGACAGGUCUGGAGAGAAGAUUUGCACGUUGCAAGGGCUUGUUUUUGGAAGGUAUAAAGAACUCUCAAAACUUAACAGCAAGAAAACAGUCCUGCUGUUUUAAGUGGGCAAAAGACUUAAGUAGACGCAUGGUACUCCGAUGGCAGACAAGCGCGUGGAAAGAUGCGCGGCCCCACCAGCCACUAGAGACCCGCAAGUGACGAUGAGAUGUGACCACACGCGCACUAGAACGGCUGAAGUGCAGACGAUACUGACAAUGCCAGGUGCUGGUUGGCUCCUUACGUGACUGGUAGGGAGGAAAACGGCAGAGAGACACAGAGCAUAAGUGGGGAAGGGGCAGAGACAGGGGAGACACAGAAUCCGAAGCAGGCUCCAGGCUCCGAGCUGUCAGCACAGAGCCCAACACGGGGUUCGAACUCACGAACCACAAGAUCAUGACCUGAGCCAAAGUCGGACGCUCAACCGACUGAGCCCCCCGGACGCCCCUACACUUACUAAAUUUUAAAAUUCUCUUCCCCGUGGUAUAGGUCUUCCAAAGAAGAAACUCAUUUCUGUGUUCCUUUUACUCUCACAUCACCACAUCACAACUUCGCUUCCCACACCAGAUGUGUGGGUUGUUGUGAAUCACAGAAGGUGCCCAUUUCACUUAGAUCACACUGAAUCUAGUUCAGGAAGUGAGGACAAAGACCAAAUAUAACAGAAGAUGCUCCCAUUGCUCUUACGCUUUGGAGAUUCCAGGGGUUUGGGGAGCUGCAGGCCAGAAACUGGGACACAGAUCAAAUACAUAUUUAUUAUAUAUCACA
Molecule: long non-coding RNA, 1374 nt
Organism: Neofelis nebulosa (Clouded leopard)
Lineage: Eukaryota; Metazoa; Chordata; Mammalia; Carnivora; Felidae
Exons: 2
Source: RefSeq, a predicted model, not a curated record